Molecule: ribosomal RNA, 916 nt
Filed under: Fusarium sp.
Lineage: Eukaryota; Fungi; Ascomycota; Sordariomycetes; Hypocreales; Nectriaceae
Description: partial large subunit ribosomal RNA
Rfam family: Eukaryotic large subunit ribosomal RNA
Source: RNAcentral
CUAGCAUAUCAAUAAGCGGAGGAAAAGAAACCAACAGGGAUUGCCUCAGUAACGGCGAGUGAAGCGGCAAGAGCUCAAAUUUGAAAGCUGGCCCCUUCGGGGUCCGCGUUGUAAUUUGCAGAGGAUGCUUCGGGUGCAGCCCCCGUCUAAGUGCCCUGGAACGGGCCGUCAUAGAGGGUGAGAAUCCCGUCUGGGACGGGGUGUCUGCGUCCGUGUGAAGCUCCUUCGACGAGUCGAGUUGUUUGGGAAUGCAGCUCUAAAUGGGUGGUAAAUUUCAUCUAAAGCUAAAUACUGGCCGGAGACCGAUAGCGCACAAGUAGAGUGAUCGAAAGAUGAAAAGCACUUUGAAAAGAGAGUUAAACAGCACGUGAAAUUGUUGAAAGGGAAGCGUUUGCGACCAGACUCGCCCGCGGGGUUCAGCCGGCAUUCGUGCCGGUGUACUUCCCCGUGGGCGGGCCAGCGUCGGUUUGGGCGGCCGGUCAAAGGCCCUCGGAAUGUAUCACCUCUCGGGGUGUCUUAUAGCCGAGGGUGCAAUGCGGCCUGCCUGGACCGAGGAACGCGCUUCGGCUCGGACGCUGGCGUAAUGGUCGUAAAUGACCCGUCUUGAAACACGGACCAAGGAGUCUAACAUCUACGCGAGUGUUCGGGUGUCAAACCCGUACGCGCAGUGAAAGCGAACGGAGGUGGGAGCCCCCUCGCGGGGCGCACCAUCGACCGAUCCUGAUGUCUUCGGAUGGAUUUGAGUACGAGCGUAGCUGUGGGGGACCCGAAAGAUGGUGAACUAUGCCUGAAUAGGGCGAAGCCAGAGGAAACUCUGGUGGAGGCUCGCAGCGGUUCUGACGUGCAAAUCGAUCGUCAAAUUUGGGUAUAGGGGCGAAAGACUAAUCGAACCAUCUAGUAGCUGGUUCCUGCCGAU